AUUGAACGCUGGCGGCAUGCUUUACACAUGCAAGUCGAACGGCAGCACGGGCUUCGGCCUGGUGGCGAGUGGCGAACGGGUGAGUAAUGCAUCGGAACGUACCGUGUAAUGGGGGAUAACGUAGCGAAAGUUACGCUAAAUACCGCAUACGCCCUGAGGGGGAAAGUGGGGGACCGCAAGGCCUCACGUUAUACGAGCGGCCGAUGUCGGAUUAGCUAGUUGGUGGGGUAAAGGCCUACCAAGGCGACGAUCCGUAGCGGGUCUGAGAGGAUGAUCCGCCACACUGGGACUGAGACACGGCCCAGACUCCUACGGGAGGCAGCAGUGGGGAAUUUUGGACAAUGGGCGCAAGCCUGAUCCAGCCAUGCCGCGUGAGUGAAGAAGGCC
Molecule: ribosomal RNA, 387 nt
Filed under: uncultured bacterium
Lineage: Bacteria
Description: bacterial SSU rRNA
Rfam family: Bacterial small subunit ribosomal RNA
Source: RNAcentral